GUUAACCUUUGCGUUGUUCUUGUUCUGUCCGAAGUCUAGAUCUCUGUAGUUCACAUAUGCUUGUCUUGGAUUGCUUGAGACAUAAGGCGCCAUGUAAUUGUAUAUCUCUUUGAUCCAGUUGAUUUUUCUACUCGAUGUCUUGUCAUUCUCUAGCCAGUUCGCGU
RNAcentral lists this small RNA (164 nucleotides) under Arabidopsis thaliana (thale cress). RNAcentral describes it as "ATSL289680". Lineage: Eukaryota; Viridiplantae; Streptophyta; Magnoliopsida; Brassicales; Brassicaceae. The record is from RNAcentral.